GUCGCAAGACCAAAGUGGGGGACCUUCGGGCCUCAUGCCAUCAGAUGUGCCCAGAUGGGAUUAGCUAGUAGGUGGGGUAACGGCUCACCUAGGCGACGAUCCCUAGCUGGUCUGAGAGGAUGACCAGCCACACUGGAACUGAGACACGGUCCAGACUCCUACGGGAGGCAGCAGUGGGGAAUAUUGCACAAUGGGCGCAAGCCUGAUGCAGCCAUGCCGCGUGUGUGAAGAAGGCCUCGGGUUGUAAAGCACUUUCAGCGGGGAGGAAGGCGGUGAGGUUAAUAACCUUGUCGAUUGACGUUACCCGCAGAAGAAGCACCGGCUAACUCCGUGCC
RNAcentral lists this ribosomal RNA (335 nucleotides) under Klebsiella pneumoniae. RNAcentral's name for it is "bacterial SSU rRNA". It matches the Rfam family "Bacterial small subunit ribosomal RNA", at positions 192 to 509 of the family's 1533-position model. Lineage: Bacteria; Pseudomonadati; Pseudomonadota; Gammaproteobacteria; Enterobacterales; Enterobacteriaceae. The record is from RNAcentral.